UACGGAGGGUGCAAGCGUUACCCGGAAUUACUGGGCGUAAAGCGUGCGCAGGCGGCUUUGCAAGACAGAUGUGAAAUCCCCGGGCUCAACCUGGGAACUGCAUUUGUGACUGCAAGGCUAGAGUACGGCAGAGGGGGAUGGAAUUCCGCGUGUAGCAGUGAAAUGCGUAGAUAUGCGGAGGAACACCAAUGGCGAAGGCAAUCCCCUGGGCCUGUACUGACGCUCAUGCACGAAAGCGUGGGGAGCAAACAGG
RNAcentral lists this ribosomal RNA (253 nucleotides) under uncultured bacterium. Its description in RNAcentral is "partial 16S ribosomal RNA". It matches the Rfam family "Bacterial small subunit ribosomal RNA", at positions 524 to 776 of the family's 1533-position model. The record is from RNAcentral.